CCUACGGGAGGCAGCAGUAAGGAAUAUUGGUCAAUGGGGGCAACCCUGAACCAGCCAUGCCGCGUGCAGGAUGAAGGCCCUAUGGGUCGUAAACUGCUUUUAUACCGGAGAAAACCCCCGUACGUGUACGGGGUUGAUAGUAUGGUAAGAAUAAGCAUCGGCUAACUUCGUGCCAGCAGCCGCGGUAAGACGAAGGAUGCAAGCGUUAUCCGGAUUCAUUGGGUUUAAAGGGUGCGUAGGCGGACCUGUAAGUCAGUGGUGAAAUCUCUUUGCUUAACAAGAAACUGCCAUUGAUACUGCAAGUCUAGAGUAUAGAUGACGUUGGCGGAAUAUGACAUGUAGUGGUGAAAUACUUAGAUAUGUCAUAGAACACCGAUUGCGAAGGCAGCUAACGAAACUAUAACUGACGCUGAGGCACGAAAGUGCGGGGAUCAAACAGGAUUAGAUACCCUGGUAGUCCGCACCGUAAACGAUGAUUACUCGUUGUUGGCAAUAUGACCGUCACGCGACCGACGACGAACGACGAGUAAGUAAUACCUACCGUACGGGAGGUACGGCCGGCCGACGGUACGAAACGUUAAACGUAAGUAAGUUAGUACGGACGUAGAGACGUAGACCGACGGACGACGACGAGGGAGGAGG
This 642-nucleotide ribosomal RNA is filed under the name uncultured bacterium. RNAcentral's name for it is "bacterial SSU rRNA". The stretch from base 1 to 542 matches the Rfam family "Bacterial small subunit ribosomal RNA", at positions 338 to 873 of the family's 1533-position model. The record is from RNAcentral.